Molecule: unclassified non-coding RNA, 336 nt
Filed under: soil metagenome
Description: partial contains 5.8S ribosomal RNA, internal transcribed spacer 2, and large subunit ribosomal RNA
Rfam family: 5.8S ribosomal RNA (bases 1-120)
Source: RNAcentral
GAUGAAGAACGCAGCGAACUGCGAUAAGUAAUGUGAAUUGCAGAAUUCAGUGAAUCAUCGAAUCUUUGAACGCACAUUGCGCCCGCCAGUAUUCUGGCGGGCAUGCCUGUUCGAGCGUCAUUUCAACCAUCAAGCCCCCGGCUUGUGUUGGGGACCUGCGGCUGCCGCAGGCCCUGAAAACCAGUGGCGGGCUCGCUGUCACACCGAGCGUAGUAGAUUUUCAUCUCGCUCAGGGCGUGCUGCGGGUUCCGGCCGUAAAAAGCCUUAUUUACCCAAGGUUGACCUCGGAUCAGGUAGGAAGACCCGCUGAACUUAAGCAUAUCAAUAAGCGGAGGA